UACGAAGGGGGCUAGCGUUGUUCGGAAUCACUGGGCGUAAAGCGCGUGUAGGCGGUUGUUCAAGUCAGGUGUGAAAGCCUUGAGCUCAACUCAAGAAAUGCACUUGAUACUGCGGUGCUUGAGGACUGGAGAGGAGACUGGAAUUUACGGUGUAGCAGUGAAAUGCGUAGAGAUCGUAAGGAAGACCAGUGGCGAAGGCGGGUCUCUGGACAGUUCCUGACACUGAGGCACGAAGGCCAGGGGAGCAAACGGG
Molecule: ribosomal RNA, 253 nt
Filed under: uncultured bacterium
Lineage: Bacteria
Description: partial 16S ribosomal RNA
Rfam family: Bacterial small subunit ribosomal RNA
Source: RNAcentral